This 360-nucleotide ribosomal RNA is filed under the name Streptomyces sp. CAP 221. RNAcentral describes it as "bacterial SSU rRNA". It matches the Rfam family "Bacterial small subunit ribosomal RNA", at positions 111 to 483 of the family's 1533-position model. Lineage: Bacteria; Bacillati; Actinomycetota; Actinomycetes; Kitasatosporales; Streptomycetaceae. The record is from RNAcentral.
UAACACGGUGGGCAAUCUGCCCUGCACUCUGGGACAAGCCCUGGAAACGGGGUCUAAUACCGGAUAUGACACACGACCGCAUGGUCUGUGUGUGGAAAGCUCCGGCGGUGCAGGAUGAGCCCGCGGCCUAUCAGCUUGUUGGUGGGGUGAUGGCCUACCAAGGCGACGACGGGUAGCCGGCCUGAGAGGGCGACCGGCCACACUGGGACUGAGACACGGCCCAGACUCCUACGGGAGGCAGCAGUGGGGAAUAUUGCACAAUGGGCGAAAGCCUGAUGCAGCGACGCCGCGUGAGGGAUGACGGCCUUCGGGUUGUAAACCUCUUUCAGCAGGGAAGAAACGCAAGUGACGGUACCUGCA